This 102-nucleotide non-coding RNA is filed under the name Andreprevotia lacus. RNAcentral's name for it is "SAH sequence". It matches the Rfam family "SAH (S-adenosyl-L-homocysteine) riboswitch aptamer". The record is from RNAcentral. Lineage: Bacteria; Pseudomonadati; Pseudomonadota; Betaproteobacteria; Neisseriales; Chitinibacteraceae. RNAcentral also lists the same sequence under 1 other name.
ACUUCCGAGGAGCGCUGCGAGGCUGCGAUCUACCGAUCGCCCCCAGGCUCGGAUUUCCUGCGACGGCCCACACGGCUGGCGCUUCAACGGCGCUCAUCUUUC